Molecule: ribosomal RNA, 551 nt
Filed under: Paranisotremus moricandi
Lineage: Eukaryota; Metazoa; Chordata; Actinopteri; Lutjaniformes; Haemulidae
Description: partial 16S ribosomal RNA
Rfam family: Bacterial large subunit ribosomal RNA
Source: RNAcentral
CCUGCCCUGUGACUAUAAUGUUUAACGGCCGCGGUAUUCUGACCGUGCGAAGGUAGCGCAAUCACUUGUCUUUUAAAUAGGGACCUGUAUGAAUGGCAUAACGAGGGCUUAACUGUCUCCUUUUUCAAGUCAAUGAAAUUGAUCUCCCCGUGCAGAAGCGGGGAUAAACACAUAAGACGAGAAGACCCUGUGGAGCUUUAGACACAAAGGCAGCUCACGUUAAGCACACCUAGAUACAGGGUCAAACUAAAUGAAGCCUGCCCGCAUGUUUUCGGUUGGGGCGACCAUGGGGUAAAACAAACCCCCCACGCGGAAGGGGAGUACUUUCCUCCUAAAACCCAGAGCCUCCGCUCUAAUAAACAGAACUUCUGACCUAAAGAUCCGGCAAAGCCGAUCAACGGACCAAGUUACCCCAGGGAUAACAGCGCAAUCCCCUUUUAGAGCCCAUAUCGACAAGGGGGUUUACGACCUCGAUGUUGGAUCAGGACAUCCUAAUGGUGCAGCCGCUAUUAAGGGUUCGUUUGUUCAACGAUUAAAGUCCUACGUGAUCU